AGAUUUGUGAGCUUUAAAAAUUUACAUGCAUGAAUCGGAGGUUAAAGGGGGAUGUUGAAAACUGGAACAAUUAUGAUAGUGAAAUUAUUAUUUGAAUGAUAUAGAACUUGUGUCUUGUGGUAUGUUGCAACAACUUGAACAAGAAGAUAAUGAUGGUUGCUCAAAAUGAUUUUAAAGUAUGUCCGAACACACUAAGCUUUAAGUUCAAUGUCACCACGUUUAUACGUAAACUUGAUGCAAUAGGCAUAACCAUG
RNAcentral lists this long non-coding RNA (254 nucleotides) under Trifolium pratense (red clover). Its description in RNAcentral is "long non-coding RNA (TPRA_LNC007412)". Lineage: Eukaryota; Viridiplantae; Streptophyta; Magnoliopsida; Fabales; Fabaceae. The record is from RNAcentral.